AUACCAGGGUUCAAAAGCUCAUGCAUUGAGCGUGCUUGCACGCAGAAAUGCAUGGAUUUGGAACCCGCCCAAACAUGAGAAAGAAGCAAGUUCCAUUAAGACACUAUGAACAACGUGAAUAGUGAAUUAAUGAACGCCGCGGAUUUCGAAUGUUUGCAGAAUUGCGAAAGCUGCAAGGCAGCGGAGCAAUUCGUCAG
Molecule: small RNA, 197 nt
Filed under: Blautia obeum
Lineage: Bacteria; Bacillati; Bacillota; Clostridia; Lachnospirales; Lachnospiraceae
Description: Clostridiales-1 RNA
Rfam family: Clostridiales-1 RNA
Source: RNAcentral